GACGGGGGGUCCAAGCGUUGUUCGGAAUCAUUGGGCGUAAAGCGGGCGUAGGUGGUCUUGCAAGUCAGGCGUGAAAGCCCUGGGCUCAACCCAGGAAGUGCUUUUGAAACUGCAAGACUUGAAUGUGGGAGAGGGUAGUAGAAUUCCUGGUGUAGUGGUGAAAUACGUAGAUAUCAGGAGGAAUACCGGUGGCGAAGGCGGCUACCUGGCCCAACAUUGACACUGAGGCCCAAAAGCGUGGGGAGCAAACAGG
Molecule: ribosomal RNA, 253 nt
Filed under: uncultured bacterium
Lineage: Bacteria
Description: partial 16S ribosomal RNA
Rfam family: Bacterial small subunit ribosomal RNA
Source: RNAcentral